This 253-nucleotide ribosomal RNA is filed under the name uncultured bacterium. RNAcentral describes it as "partial 16S ribosomal RNA". It matches the Rfam family "Bacterial small subunit ribosomal RNA", at positions 524 to 776 of the family's 1533-position model. The record is from RNAcentral.
UACGAAGGGGGCUAGCGUUGUUCGGAAUUACUGGGCGUAAAGCGCACGUAGGCGGAUAUUUAAGUCAGGGGUGAAAUCCCAGAGCUCAACUCUGGAACUGCCUUUGAUACUGGGUAGCUAGAGUAUGGAAGAGGUAAGUGGAAUUCCGAGUGUAGAGGUGAAAUUCGUAGAUAUUCGGAGGAACACCAGUGGCGAAGGCGGCUUACUGGUCCAUUACUGACGCUGAGGUGCGAAAGCGUGGGGAGCAAACAGG